UCAAACGUGCAAAGAACAUAGAGAUUUGGACAUUUGAGGGCAAAUUCUGACUUCAGAUACACACACAUAAAAUUUGCUGUAGUCAGUGGGUUCACUGGUAUUAACUGAGGGCAGAACUGAUAUUCAACCAUUAUCAAAGAAAAGUAUAGUUUCUGCAUUGAGAUGAUUUUAUUCUGCAAUGUAGUCCUUAUGAUAAUUGACCUGUAGACUUCUAUGGGGUGCAGAGCAAAAUGAUUUGAAAGAAAACUGGGAAUCUGAUAUGUGCCUACAGAAAUGGAGAAAAGAAGAUAUGAUGAGUUAAUGGAAGGUGGUUUAAAGUUGAAAAGCAUUUGACAGCAUGGCUCUUCCAAUCCUCUCCUUCUCUUUACUUCCCCACCCCAGAUCCAGUUUGCAGCCUUCGUAACCUGUGAAGAAGAGGUGGACUUGUCAAGUUUUCAAAAUGCAGUAUACUGAAAAGAGCUUGGAUGCCUGCCUUUGGCUGUAGCCCCAGACUCCAGAAGACGAUGAAGACAUCCCUACAUGCCUAUAUAUGGAAAGAGGCCAACAUGGAUGCCAUCAGAAGGAUUCAGCUGAGCAUAUGCUGAGAAAAUUGUGCCAUCCAUACUGUACAUGGGGAAGGGCUGACUGAACCCUCCAGUAUAUUGAAGUUUAUGGCCCUGAAAAGGAAACAUAGGUUUGUGGAAAUUUCACACUAACAGAUGCAAAGAGUCAAGAAUUCUUCAACCUCUAAGGAAAGGUGCUGAAGGAGAAGGAGUUUUUGGAGCCUAAAUCUCCACUCUUGUUCUUGGUCAGACACAGCAUGAAUAGAGGUGAACUCUCCCACUAAGGUGUAUUGCAAAAGGGCUGUGACUGAUGAACACACAAGUGAAGCUUACAGAUGAAAGUGUAUAUGUGAAGUAAGGGGGAGUAAGUAACAGUGAGUUCAGGAAGGUGUUAUUUUGUUGAAUGACAUAUUUUAGGACUUGUGUUUGGUUUUAAUGGACGAGACAUCAUUUGUUUGGAUUUUUAUCUCUAGUUUGUGUGUAUUUUAAAUAGUUGCAGAUGAAUAAACUCAUAAAUGAAUGUA
Molecule: long non-coding RNA, 1066 nt
Organism: Trachemys scripta elegans
Lineage: Eukaryota; Metazoa; Chordata; Testudines; Emydidae
Exons: 3
Source: RefSeq, a predicted model, not a curated record